CCUACGGGGUGCAGCAGUAGGGAAUCUUUCACAAUGGGCGAAAGCCUGAUGGAGCAACGCCGCGUGCAGGAUGAAGGCCUUCGGGUUGUAAACUGCUUUUAUAAGCGAGAAAUAUGAUGGUAACUUAUGAAUAAGGAUCGGCUAACUACGUGCCAGCAGCCGCGGUCAUACGUAGGAUCCGAGCAUUAUCCGGAGUGACUGGGUGUAAAGAGUUGCGUAGGUGGCAUAAUAAGUAGCUAGUGAAAUCGGGUGGCUCAACCAUUCAGACUAUUAGCUAAACUGUUAAGCUCGAGACCGUUAGGGGUAACUGGAAUUUCUAGUGUAGGAGUGAAAUCCGUAGAUAUUAGAAGGAACACCAAUAGCGUAGGCAGGUUACUGGGACGGUUCUGACACUAAGGCACGAAAGCGUAGGGAGCAAACGGGAUUAGAUACCCCUGUAGUC
This 442-nucleotide ribosomal RNA is filed under the name uncultured bacterium. RNAcentral's name for it is "partial 16S ribosomal RNA". It matches the Rfam family "Bacterial small subunit ribosomal RNA", at positions 338 to 795 of the family's 1533-position model. The record is from RNAcentral.